Molecule: ribosomal RNA, 305 nt
Filed under: uncultured bacterium
Lineage: Bacteria
Description: bacterial SSU rRNA
Rfam family: Bacterial small subunit ribosomal RNA
Source: RNAcentral
UUCAGCCUAGGGGCGCAGCAGUGAGGAAUAUUGGUCAAUGGCCGAGAGGCUGAACCAGCCAAGUCGCGUGAGGGAAGACGGCCCUACGGGUUGUAAACCUCUUUUGCCGGGGAGCAAGCCUGAGCACGUGUGCCCAGGCGGAGAGUACCCGGAGAAAAAGCAUCGGCUAACUCCGUGCCAGCAGCCGCGGUAAUACGGAGGAUGCGAGCGUUAUCCGGAUUUAUUGGGUUUAAAGGGUGCGCAGGCGGGCUGUUAAGCCGGCGGUAAAAAUUCAGGGCUCAACCCUGGCGAGCCGUCGGGACUGG